This 279-nucleotide ribosomal RNA is filed under the name uncultured bacterium. RNAcentral's name for it is "partial 16S ribosomal RNA". It matches the Rfam family "Bacterial small subunit ribosomal RNA", at positions 506 to 784 of the family's 1533-position model. The record is from RNAcentral.
UGCCAGCCGCCGCGGUAAUACGGAGGGGGCGAGCGUUAUUCGGAAUCACUGGGCGUAAAGCGUACGUAGGCGGCUUGACAAGUCAGAAGUGAAAUCCCAGGGCUCAACCCUGGAACUGCUUUUGAAACUGUCUCGCUAGAAUAUCGGAGAGGUCAGGAGAAUUCCUAGUGUAGAGGUGAAAUUCGUAGAUAUUAGGAGGAAUACCAGAGGCGUAGGCGCCUGACUGGACGAUUAUUGACGCUGAGGUACGAAAGCGUGGGGAGCGAACAGGAUUAGAUA